AUUUGUAUUGGAUGGCUGAAAUACAUUAAAAUAAUCCAUUUGAAAAAGCACAAAAGGGUAGAAUUGGAAAUCUGAUGGUAUGAAAAUUGAAUUUGGCGGUUUCAUUUUUCAUCUUUUUUCAGUUUCGUUCUGAGCAUUGUUCUUCUCUCCCAUUCUCCCAUUCGCAUCUCUCCCAUUCGCCCUGUCUCCAUUCUCCUCUCCCAUUCGCUUUUCCCAUUCGGCCUCUCUCCAUUCGCCUGUCCCAUUCGCGUCUCUCCCAUUCUGAGCAUCCUUCGUCUCUCCAUUCGGGUGGCUUUGUUCAUCGAAAGGCGUCAUCUCAAGGAAAAGUGGUCUUUUUCAUUGACUCUGUACCGGUAAGUUUUCUUUUGCGUUUUGGGUGCGUUUGGCGUUGUGGGUGUGUUCCCUUUAACGUUUUCUUUCGCGUUUGGCCUUUUGGGUGUGUUUUGCUAUGUGGCUCUGUUUCUUGUUUUGGGUGGGCUCUGUUUCUUGUUUUGGGUGGAACCAUAGUUC
RNAcentral lists this long non-coding RNA (510 nucleotides) under Vigna radiata. Its description in RNAcentral is "long non-coding RNA (VRAD_LNC008990)". The record is from RNAcentral. Lineage: Eukaryota; Viridiplantae; Streptophyta; Magnoliopsida; Fabales; Fabaceae.